This 299-nucleotide long non-coding RNA is filed under the name Homo sapiens (human). RNAcentral describes it as "non-protein coding lnc-GADD45A-6:1". The record is from RNAcentral. Lineage: Eukaryota; Metazoa; Chordata; Mammalia; Primates; Hominidae.
AAUAAAUCCAGGUGUGGUGGUAUGUGCCUGUAGUUCCAGUUACUCGGAGGCUGAGGAAGGGAGGGAGGGAAGGAGGGAGGGAGGAAAGGAGAAAAGGAAGGAAGGAGAAAAAACAAUUGUUUACAGUGGACUAUUUUCAGUUCAUUGCAAGUAUAAAGAAAUACAAUUUAUGUUUGUAUAUUAAUUUGUAUCCCACAACCUUGCUGAACUUGCUGAUUAGUUCUAGUGGUUUUUUAGUGCAUUCCUUAGGAUUUUCUAUGUACAAGAUCAUGUCAUCUGCAAAUGGCAAUUGUUUUACU